Molecule: ribosomal RNA, 254 nt
Filed under: uncultured bacterium
Lineage: Bacteria
Description: partial 16S ribosomal RNA
Rfam family: Bacterial small subunit ribosomal RNA
Source: RNAcentral
UACGGGGGAUGCAAGCGUUAUCCGGAUUUAUUGGGUUUAAAGGGUGCGUAGGCUGUGAGGUAAGUCAGCGGUGAAAUGCCCCCGCUCAACGGGGUGAAGUGCCAUUGAUACUGCCUUGCUGGAAUGCGGAUGCCGUGGGAGGAAUGUGUGGUGUAGCGGUGAAAUGCAUAGAUAUCACACAGAACACCGAUUGCGAAGGCAUCUCACGAAUCCGCGAUUGACGCUGAUGCACGAAAGCGUGGGUAUCGAACAGG